Molecule: non-coding RNA, 29 nt
Filed under: Rattus norvegicus (Norway rat)
Lineage: Eukaryota; Metazoa; Chordata; Mammalia; Rodentia; Muridae
Source: RNAcentral
UCCUCUAAAGCCUUUGGAAGCCGCCGUGA